CCCUCUCCCUCCCUCUGCUCUUUCUGUGUAACUCUGACUUUCAAAUAAACAAAUCUUUAAAAAAAUCCUAACACUUUUGGAUGUGUGACUUUGGGCAGGUCACCUCCAUGCCUUGAGCCAUGUUUCUUUAUCUGUAAAAUAAUAAUAAAGGCAUUUGCUCCCAUGGAUUGCUGGGAUACGUGAUACAAGAAUGUAAAAUGCCAGACAUAGAGCCUGGCACAAAUUAGGAAAAUCCCGAAUGGCAGUGGCUGCUGCCACUGCCCAUUGGUUUUGGUUUUAAAAAGAUUUGUUUAUUUACUUUAAAGGAGAGUUACAGAGAGAGAGAGAGAGAGAGAGAGAGAGAGAGAGAGAGAGGUUUUCCAUUCGCUGGUUCACUUCCCAGUUGGCUGCAAUGGCCGGAGCUGAGCCAAUCCAAAGCCAGGAGCCAGAAGCUUCCCCUGGGUCCCCCACAUGGGAGCAGGGGCCCAAGGACUUGGGCCAUCUUCUACUGCUUUCCCAGGCCAUAGCAGAGAGCUGGAUCAGAAGUGGAGCAGCUGGGACUUGAACCAGCUCCCAUAUGGGAGGCCGGCACUGCAGGUGCCAGCUUGACCCACUACGCCACAGCGCUGGCCUCUGCUCAUUGUUAUUAGUACCAUUUCAUCUUAUAUUUUAGACUCAGGAAUACUGGUAGCUUGCUGAAGUGCUUCUCACUCCCAGUGACAAACUUUGGACAGUGACUUGGGAGGUAUUAAGAUCCAAAUAUUCUGACCACCCCAAGGCCCUCCGAGACCGACCAGAGGAAGCGGGUCCUCUGUGAGCUGGAGGUCUAAUCCCCCUCUGUUGAUUGGUUCUCAGUGAUCCAGGGGAAAGAAAGCACCAGAACACCCGGUAUUUGAUUUAAAAGUCUACACCUUGGGGAUGUGUUUUCGGGUUCUUGGAGACUGACUUAAUGGAAGAAGAGAGGUGAGAGUUCUUGCUGGUGCUGUGCCCCUGGGGAGGGCUUGACUCCCUCGGAGGCUUCUAGAAGCAGUCCUGCUUUUCUUGCCUGUGGCCCCUGUUACUGCAUACAAUAAAUAUUUGACAACAUUUUAAUUUCUCGCCACCUGGCUAGAAUUGCUUACGAAUAUCACACCCAUGAAUGUAAGCAAUUAAGUAUUUUAUAAGCACCGCUGAGAUGCCAAUAUCAGAAAACAGGAGUUGCAGGUGACAGAGGUGGGACGGUCACUCCGUGUUUUCCUCGGGGGCUUCGCUCUCUUCACCUUCUGCCAAGGACUCUGGAGGGGGCGUUUUCUCGGCGGGGGCCUCGCUGAGCUCCCUGUGGGAAGAGAGCAGAGCAAGGCUUCCACUCCUGCCACUCUCCCCGCCUCCCCAAACUCAGUACGGUGAAGUGGCCCUGUCACGUACCCUGCGUCCUUGUCAGGAAACUCUUCCUUUACAGAAGGCUCCUUGUCUGGGGGCAAGUCCUUGGCUUUCUUGCGUGUGCCACCGAAAGGGCUGAGCAGACGCCUCAGCCAGAGUGGCCACCUCAGCCGGAAGAAGCCCUAGGAAAGACAAAAAGACAUGUAAAUAGAGCAUUUUCCCUGCUGUCUCCAGCCACACACUGCAGCCUCCUCCCAUUUACCUGAGUCUCAUCUUCCAAACACUUUCUAGGCACUGAUUGGUGAAAGCUCGUUGGGGAAAAACACACACAAGACCAUUAGAGACGAGUGCCAUUGUUCACUUCUCACAGUGUGCAUCUCAGGUCUUCCUGGGACGACACAUGCACCUCAGCCAUCACUGCAGUGAGUGCUCACUACAAGCCUGGGGUCUCAGAUGCAGUACCCAGGGCGCUGGGCUUCCAGGAGCCCUCUGUCCCUACAGACCUGCAGUGUCUCUGGGGAGACUUUUGUCUGUUGUCAGUCCCAGUGCCUUUCUCAGCCAAGUGUGCUUGCGCAGUGGACACACUGCACCACCACACGGGGCAGAAGUAUUUUCUCUCUCCAGAGGCAUUUGACACCUGCCCCUUUAGGAUUUAGCCUCACAAGCAUCAUUCACUGGGGUGUAGGGAGAAAAUGCUUGUGUUUCCAUAGCUGCUUUAGUCCCCUAUAAAUUGAAUCCUAUGAAGCAAUGCCCGAGUCCAAUAGCAACGUUACCCAGCUCAAAGAUUUUUCUCACUGCAGGGUGUCUGUCACUGAUGGAAGAUUGAGUUGUGAAACCAGUUUAAAGGGCAAAACCAGCGUGGAAAUACAAGGUUCCGGAGCCCAGAUGGGAAAGGUGCUCAAGAGGAACCAUGCAGAUGUGGUUGUCCCCGUAUGGCCUAGAAGUUCUGAUCAUCAUUCAAAGGAGUGUUAAGGGCCCGGAGUCUGAGCAGAGCCCUCCUGCUGCACUGGAGAAGAGUCCCGCUCCAUGGUGGGCUCCGGAGUUAUGGUCAGCGCCACAUCUGCAGGCUUGAUGGUAACAUUGGGCAGGUUAUAACGGUGAACUUGAUUCUGAUCUGGA
Molecule: non-coding RNA, 2457 nt
Organism: Oryctolagus cuniculus (rabbit)
Lineage: Eukaryota; Metazoa; Chordata; Mammalia; Lagomorpha; Leporidae
Source: RefSeq, a predicted model, not a curated record